AUUGAACGCUGGCGGCAUGCCCUACACAUGCAAGUCGAACGGCAGCACGGGUGCUUGCACCUGGUGGCGAGUGGCGAACGGGUGAGUAUUACAUCGGAACGUACCUUAUCGUGGGGGAUAACGCAGCGAAAGCUGUGCUAAUACCGCAUACGCCCUGAGGGGGAAAGCGGGGGAUCGCAAGACCUCGCGCGAUUAGAGCGGCCGAUGCCUGAUUAGCUUGUUGGUGGGGUAAAAGCCCACCAAGGCGACGAUCAGUAGAUGGUCUGAGAGGACGAUCAGCCACACUGGGACUGAGGCACGGCCCAGACUCCUACGGGAGGCAGCAGUGGGGAAUUUUGGACAAUGGGGGCAACCCCGAUCCAGCAAUGCCGCGUGAGUGAAGAAGGCCUUCGGGUUGUAAGCUCUUUUGUCAGGGAAGAAACACCGGCUCUAACACAGUCCGCGAAUGACGGUACCUGAAGAAUAAGCACCGGCUAACUACGUGCCAGCCGCCGCAGUAA
RNAcentral lists this ribosomal RNA (500 nucleotides) under uncultured bacterium. RNAcentral describes it as "partial 16S ribosomal RNA". It matches the Rfam family "Bacterial small subunit ribosomal RNA", at positions 29 to 523 of the family's 1533-position model. The record is from RNAcentral.